Molecule: ribosomal RNA, 207 nt
Filed under: uncultured bacterium
Lineage: Bacteria
Description: partial 16S ribosomal RNA
Rfam family: Bacterial small subunit ribosomal RNA
Source: RNAcentral
UGCGUAGGCGGCGCGGAAAGUUGGGUGUGAAAUCCCUCGGCUCAACCGAGGAACUGCGCCCAAAACUACCGUGCUCGAGGGAGAUAGAGGUGAGCGGAACUUAGGGUGGAGCGGUGAAAUGCGUUGAUAUCCUAAGGAACACCGGUGGCGAAAGCGGCUCACUGGAUCUCUUCUGACGCUGAGGCACGAAAGCUAGGGGAGCAAACG